AUGGGAAUCAGCGGUGAUGUGUGGUGGGAGUCCUUCUUCGGACUUAUUGGUUCCUUGUGCAUCACGAAAAGGGGAUCACAGAGAAUGCCGUGUGAGACGCAGAAAGAAAAGAAAACGGGAGCGAGGAAAGUCAAGAGCAACCACGCAGCAGCCACGUGUACUAUUUCGUCAUUCAAACCAAUUUAUGCACCAUCUCCCGCCUGGACUACUGCAACUGCCUCCUGGCAGGUCUCCCUGCUACCGCCAUCCGACCUCUGCAGCCCAUCCAGAAUGCAGCAGCUCGGCUGGUCUUUAACCUUCCGAAAUUCUCCCACACUACUCCACUCCUCCGCUCUCUUCACUGGCUACCGGUGGCCGCCCGCAUCCACUUCAAAACAUUGGUGCUCACGCACCGUGCUGUGAAUGGAUUGGGUCCAGCUUACAUCCAGGUCAUGGUGAAACCCGACAUCCCGACCCGCACUCUCCGCUCUGCAUCUGCAAAACUGCUCGUCCCUCCAUCACUGAGAGCAAAACAAUCGACUAGAUCUCGACUCUUCGCUGUCCUUGCUCCGAAAUGGUGGAACGAGCUCUCUGAUGAUACCAGGACCGCAGAGAGCCAUCACAUCUUCCGUCGCAAACUAAAGACACACCUCUUCACACUCUACCUCGACUAAAAAACUAACAAAUUGUAGCACUUAAAUUGUACUCAUAGCACCACUCAUUUAUAGCAAAUUGUAAAUUGUCUUAUUUGAUGAAAUUCCACUUUCUUGUUUCUUGUUCUUCUGAGUUUGUAUCCUUAUGGUUGAAUGCACUUAUUGUAAGUCGCUUUGGAUAAAAGCGUCAGCUAAAUGACAUGUUAUAUAAUGUAAUGUAACCUAUGGGAGCAAUUAGGGCUUCGGGACACAUCGACAUGGACUAGCUGAGCCGGGGAUUGACGGACGACCUGCUCUGUUAUUCAGUCACAGAAGCCCAAUGUGCAAUUGAUGAAAACAGACUACAUACAGCUUGAGUUACACGCUGUUGAUCUGUUCAAUUUUGAUUUUUAGAUUUUAUUUGUUGACAGAUCAAAUAUAACCAUUGCUUGCCUUAAACCUCCCGACAGAAACCAUGUUACUAUUUUGUACACGGCUGGAAUACAACAAUUGGCUGUCUUGUUGCGGGACUGAAAAAACGAUUCAAUGGACAUUUAACGAAGAAAGAAAGGAGAUAAAAGGACAAAAUAAAUGCUGCUUCCAAACUUUGUCUUUGAUUUAGGAAAAGACGGUUUCCUUCCUCUGAAGAGUCGCCCACACUCUUGAUCUUUCAGCAGCAGUAGACAGCAGCACGCACCGGCCAAGUUUAGCAGACUAUUCAUGUGUGCUGGAUUAAAUAUAUAUAUCGACGUCUCCGCUCUUCUUCUCUCUUCUACACGUGUCUUCACCUGAAGGGAAACAGAAUCCCUCCAAGCAGCAGCGUGGAGACAAACUAGAGACCGGAGAAGCACCACAGCGUUCUUUAAAAGCCUAAAAUAGCAAAAAGGGAAGAAAUGAACCGUGUCCCACAGUGUCCCAAUCAACAUGUGUUGUUUGGUAGACACGUCCGUAGGUCAUGCACGUAACGUCAGCGGAUUAGGACGAGCAAUCCAACGUCCUGACUCGGUCCCGCUGACAACAUUCUGAAGUCAUUUGGACUAAUUAGUGUUCAAAUUGCUUCGUAGAUGAAAAACAUUCGCCAGAUUCUCUCUUUUAUCCGCUGACCGCUCUUCAAUCGUUAAAGAUCGCUGUCUCUCAUCCAGAUGUCUCGGGUUUGGUUCAUAACCAGCAUACAUCGGGAUGAAUUUAGCAUUUUUCCUCCUUUGUGCUAUAGACUGACUGGAGUCUCAUUUUAACUUUUAAACAAGUCUCAAAUGCUUUAAUUUCAUAAACAUCAGGACACAUCAUGGAAAUGCUGUAAAUCAGCCCCUGAGUUUGUUGCGACCUUUCACUUAGACGGGGCCACAUAAUUUCUUUCAGAGUCUUUGUGUCGGAAUCAACCACAUGAUGAUCUGAUACCGUAAAAGAGAAAAGAAGUUGACUUCAGACAUCAAAGCCCAAAAAAAGUUGGAUGAAAGGAAGAUGAAAUACUUUAAAGGCGGAGGUGAGAAAGUAUUCAAUCCUCCAUGGAAAGCAAACCCUUCAGGAAAACAUUUUCCCAUCAACCCCGUACAACAGAUCAGAGGGGACGGAGGCAUCGACUUGAGAUGAACGGCAAUGUUCAUUAAUAACAGCCAAAGUAUUUACAAAACUCCCAGCGGAAGAGGUCACGGACGAUAAGAAAUUUGAAGUAUGAGCACAUCACAUGAAAAUCAAAGCUACUAUCAUUCAUACAUACUUCUCUUUGACAACAGAUCAAAUGAAUCAGGAGAAGAAAUAUAUGUAGAUAAAGUGUGUGUUUUUAAACCUGGAUGACCUUUCUACACUCGUCAAACCGUUACUCGCCUGUUUAAAACCAGA
Gasterosteus aculeatus (three-spined stickleback) is the source of this 2450-nucleotide long non-coding RNA. The record is from Ensembl. Lineage: Eukaryota; Metazoa; Chordata; Actinopteri; Perciformes; Gasterosteidae.